CUAACACAUGCAAGUCGAGGGGCAGCGGGAGUGAAGCUUGCUUCACUUGCCGGCGACCGGCGCACGGGUGAGUAACGCGUAUGCAACCUGCCUGUAACAGGGGGAUAACCCGGAGAAAUCCGGACUAAGACCGCAUAACGCUGAGAAGCCGCAUGACUUUUCAGCCAAAUAUUCAUAGGUUACAGAUGGGCAUGCGUCCGAUUAGCCAGUUGGCGGGGUAACGGCCCACCAAAGCGACGAUCGGUAGGGGUUCUGAGAGGAAGGUCCCCCACAUUGGAACUGAGACACGGUCCAAACUCCUACGGGAGGCAGCAGUGAGGAAUAUUGGUCAAUGGACGGAAGUCUGAACCAGCCAUGUCGCGUGAAGGAGGAAGGUACUAUGUAUUGUAAACUUCUUUUGCCUGGGGGUAAAGUGGGUCACGCGUGGCCUAUUGCAAGUACCAGGCGAAUAAGCAUCGGCUAACUCCGUGCCAGCAGCCGCGGUAAUACGGAGGAUGCGAGCGUUAUCCGGAUUUAUUGGGUUUAAAGGGUGCGUAGGCGGGACGUCAAGUCAGCGGUGAAAUACUGUGGCUCAACCAUAGUACUGCCGUUGAAACUGGCGACCUUGAGUGCGGCAGAGGUAGGCGGAAUGUGUGGUGUAGCGGUGAAAUGCUUAGAUAUCACACAGAACACCGAUUGCGAAGGCAGCUUACUGGAGCGCAACUGACGCUGAGGCACGAAAGCGUGGGUAUCGAACAGGAUUAGAUACCCUGGUAGUCCACGCUGUAAACUAUGAUGACUAGCUGUUGGCGAUACAGUGUCAGCGGCACAGCGAAAGCGUUAAGUCAUCCACCUGGGGAGUACGCCGGCAACGGUGAAACUCAAAGGAAUUGACGGGGGCCCGCACAAGCGGAGAACAUGUGUUUAAUUCGAUGAUACGCGAGGAACCUUACCCGGGCUUGAAGUUAGCGACGGACGAGAGAACGUCUUCCCGCAGGGCGCGAAACUAGUGCUGCAUGUUGUCGUCAGCUCGUGCCGUGAGGUGUCGGCUUAAUGCCUAACGAGCGCAAC
RNAcentral lists this ribosomal RNA (1050 nucleotides) under uncultured rumen bacterium. RNAcentral's name for it is "bacterial SSU rRNA". It matches the Rfam family "Bacterial small subunit ribosomal RNA", at positions 48 to 1102 of the family's 1533-position model. The record is from RNAcentral.